Molecule: ribosomal RNA, 108 nt
Filed under: Hoylesella shahii DSM 15611 = JCM 12083
Lineage: Bacteria; Pseudomonadati; Bacteroidota; Bacteroidia; Bacteroidales; Prevotellaceae
Description: Prevotella shahii DSM 15611 = JCM 12083 partial 16S ribosomal RNA
Rfam family: Bacterial small subunit ribosomal RNA
Source: RNAcentral
CUGGCUCAGGAUGAACGCUAGCUACAGGCUUAACACAUGCAAGUCGCGGGGCAGCAUGGUGAUUGCUUGCAAUUACUGAUGGCGACCGGCGCACGGGUGAGUAACGCG